UACGUAGGGUGCGAGCGUUAAUCGGAAUUACUGGGCGUAAAGCGUGCGCAGGCGGUUUUGUAAGCCAGAUGUGAAAUCUCCGGGCCUAACCCGGAAACUGCGUCGGAUACUAUCCGGCUAGAGGAUUGGAUGGGAGACUGGAAUACUUGGUGUAGCAGUGAAAUGCGUAGAUAUCAAGUGGAACACCAGUGGCGAAGGCGAGUCCCUGGACAACUCCUGACACUGAGGCACGAAAGCUAGGGGAGCAAACAGG
This 253-nucleotide ribosomal RNA is filed under the name uncultured bacterium. Its description in RNAcentral is "partial 16S ribosomal RNA". It matches the Rfam family "Bacterial small subunit ribosomal RNA", at positions 524 to 776 of the family's 1533-position model. The record is from RNAcentral.